Molecule: ribosomal RNA, 468 nt
Filed under: uncultured bacterium
Lineage: Bacteria
Description: partial 16S ribosomal RNA
Rfam family: Bacterial small subunit ribosomal RNA
Source: RNAcentral
GACGAACGCUGGCGGCGUGCUUAACACAUGCAAGUCGAACGGAAAGGCCCUGCUUUUGUGUGGUGCUCGAGUGGCGAACGGGUGAGUAACACGUGAGUAACCUGCCCUUGACUUUGGGAUAACUUCAGGAAACUGGGGCUAAUACCGGAUAGGAGCUCCUGCUGCAUGGUGGUGGUUGGAAAGUUUCGGCGGUUGGGGAUGUACUCGCGGCUUAUCAGCUUGUUGGUGGGGUAGUGGCUUACCAAGGCUUUGACGGGUAGCCGGCCUGAGAGGGUGACCGGCCACAUUGGGACUGAGAUACGGCCCAGAGUCCUACGGGAGGCAGCAGUGGGGAAUAUUGCACAAUGGGCGGAAGCCUGAUGCAGCAACGCCGCGUGCGGGAUGACGGCCUUCGGGUUGUAAACCGCUUUAGCCUGUGACGAAGCGUGAGUGACGGUAAUGGGUAAAGAAGCACCGGCUAACUACGUG